RNAcentral lists this ribosomal RNA (521 nucleotides) under uncultured bacterium. RNAcentral describes it as "bacterial SSU rRNA". It matches the Rfam family "Bacterial small subunit ribosomal RNA", at positions 777 to 1297 of the family's 1533-position model. The record is from RNAcentral.
AAUAGAUACCCGGGUAGUCCACGCUGUAAACGUUGGACACUAGGUGUGGCGGUCUGAUCAACGACUGCCGUGCCGAAGCUAACGCAUUAAGUGUCCCGUCUGGGGAGUACGGCCGCAAGGCUAAAACUCAAAGGAAUUGACGGGUCCCCGCACAAGCGGCGGAGCAUGCGGCUUAAUUCGAUGCAACCCGAAGAACCUUACCUGGGUUUGACAUCAUGGGAAAAGCCGUGGAAACACGGUGUCCGUAAGGGCCCAUGACAGGUGGUGCAUGGCUGUCGUCAGCUCGUGUCGUGAGAUGUUGGGUUAAGUCCCGCAACGAGCGCAACCCUUGUCCUAUGUUGCCAGCGGUUCGGCCGGGGACCCAUAGGAGACUGCCGGGGAUAACUCGGAGGAAGGUGAGGACGAUGGUCAAGUCAUCAUGCCCCUUAUAUCCAGGGCUGCACGCAUGCUACAAUGGUCGGUACAACGGGCAGCGAUCCUGCGAAGGUGAGCGAAUCCCACAAAGCCGGCCUCAGUUCGGA